GAGUUUGAUCCUGGCUCAGAACGAACGCUGGCGGCGUGCCUAACACAUGCAAGUCCAACGUGAAAGGGGAGCAAUCCCCCGGUAGGGUGGCAAACGGGUGAGUAAUACAUGGGUGAUCUACCUUAGGGAUGGGGAUAUCCUUCCGAAAGGAGGGGCAAUACCGAAUAUUGUCCGGAGCCGUGAAGGGUUCCGGGGAAAGGGAGGCCUCUGAUACAAGCUUUCGCCUUAAGAUGAGCCCAUGGCCCAUCAGCUAGUUGGUAGGGUAAAGGCCUACCAAGGCUACGACGGGUCGCUGGUCUGAGAGGACGACCAGCCACACUGGCACUGAGAUACGGGCCAGACUCCUACGGGAGGCAGCAGUGAGGAAUAUUGCGCAAUGGGGGAAACCCUGACGCAGCAACGCCGCGUGUGGGAAGAAGGCCUUCGGGUCGUAAACCACUUUUGCACGGGACGAAAAAGGGAUAUCGAACAAAUAUCCCCGAUGACGGUACCGUGAGAAUAAGCCACGGCUAACUCUGUGCCAGCAGCCGCGGUAAGACAGAGGUGGCAAGCGUUGUUCGGAAUUACUGGGCGUAAAGAGUCUGUAGGUGGUUUGUCAAGUCUUUGGUGAAAGGCCGUAGCUUAACUAUGGGUAUGCCAAAGAGACUGGCAGGCUGGAGGCUGGGAGAGGGAAGCGGAAUUUCUGGUGUAGCGGUGAAAUGCGUAGAUAUCAGAAGGAAGGCCGGUGGCGAAGGCGGCUUCCUGGAACAGUCCUGACA
RNAcentral lists this ribosomal RNA (758 nucleotides) under uncultured bacterium. Its description in RNAcentral is "bacterial SSU rRNA". It matches the Rfam family "Bacterial small subunit ribosomal RNA", at positions 9 to 745 of the family's 1533-position model. The record is from RNAcentral.